Molecule: unclassified non-coding RNA, 543 nt
Filed under: Hevea brasiliensis (rubber tree)
Lineage: Eukaryota; Viridiplantae; Streptophyta; Magnoliopsida; Malpighiales; Euphorbiaceae
Source: RNAcentral
GAAGAAGAAGACAGCAGUGAAACAAGUGAAAACAGGUUUGUGGGAUACGAAGAAAUAGAGCGUAUCCAUUUGGAGCAGAAGAAUGAAGAGGAAAAGGAGAAAAGCAUUCUGUGGAAAGUCUACGAAGUUCGGAUUUAAGAGGCUGGAAAUUGCUAGCAAUUUCUUUUGUUUUGAUUUAUGAUUAGAGAUUGACAAGGAAUAGUAAAAGACACAAAACCACUGGUUCAAGCAAAAGCAAAGACAACUUUGGAAGGACGGCUGGCUCAUAUCAAGUGGGAACUGCUGGGCCUAUGGACCAUAGUAUUGGCUACCGCUAAGUAUAGCGUGGAAUUACUAGAAUCUUGGAGGAAAUUCGGAGUCAGGGCUGGAUGGGUGACUACCUACUUCAUGAGGAGGAUGAUAAGUGUGACUGGCCAACCGCUCAACAUCAUCAGGGCAAUGGAUUUCAAAGGGGAAGAAAUUUGAACGGAAAUAAUGUUUCUAUCAGACUGUGACAUGAAAAUAAAAAUUUUUGGCAGAGAAAAUGGAGAUGGUCCAUUUAUA